Long non-coding RNA from Micropterus salmoides (largemouth bass), 912 nucleotides. RefSeq lists it as uncharacterized. NCBI's taxonomy places the organism in Eukaryota, Metazoa, Chordata, Actinopteri, Centrarchiformes, Centrarchidae. The record is from RefSeq and is a predicted model, not a curated record. The transcript has 2 exons.
GAUAGGGCAUGCAAGCUGAAGAUUUAUACAAAGAGGACAAAGUGAUAAAAUAGCCAUCAAAAGGGGCUGAAGAACUCUGUAUUAACCACGGUACGAGAAAACGGACAGUAGGGGAGACCGGUGGACAAAAAUGGACAUUGGUACACAGAGAUUGUCUGGACAGAUACAAAACAGAUCCAAAUGGACUGAGCUGGAGGGGACAGGAAACAACUGGGACACACACACACUGGCAACAAAGCCGAUGCAGUCUCCCGCCAGGAGGUUUUGUGGUGGUUGUGGAGGCUGAAAGAGCUACAUGGAUACAUACCAGCCACUGCAGGAAGGUGCCUGCACCAGAACAGUAACAGAUCAACAAGCGUGCACAAUCACCCUUUGUCUCAGACUCAAAGGCUGUUAGACAGCAAACAUCAACACAAGGGAGCUAGUGGGAAAACUCCUGGUCUCACCACUGCUGAUUUAAGAGUGAGUAGCAUGUUUGUCUCUGGAAGGAGACAUCCAUGGGACCCAGUCAGACACCCAGACAUGUGUGGGCCUACGAGGAACAACACAGAUGUUUGCUGCCAUUGCAAUAGCAUUAACAGUUCCUCUGUUGCAGUUCUUAGAUCACAAGCAUGAUGCACAAAAGCCACCACAACAGAACACCACAGUGAACUACACACAGGCAUUGACAUCACAUAGCAGUGUUAGAGGCAAGAGAAGCACCCAAAGAGGCUGGGAUGCUUGGAUAAUUUUAAUAACUCCUCUUGUACGUUUGUGCCCAACAAUACAGCUCCAGAUGGUUCGGUGACCCCAGUGCUGGAAGGAAUGCGUUCGCUACGAGAAGAACUUGCAGAGAACUCUGAAGUGGACACUAAUAUGUUUGACUGGUCUGAUUCUGUAUUUGCUAAAUAAAAAGCCUUAGUGAUGCCCAUA